GUCGGAGGUCGGGGUGGGGGGCGGGAAGUGGCAAAGGGGGAAGGGGUCUGAACAAUGCGCAGGGCUUGCGGUGAUUUCCCUGGGCCGGAAUCUCGACCUUGCUCCUCUACUGGAAAGCAGUCUGAUGUGAUUUUAAGUUGGGCCGGGACUUGUCCCUUAUGGGCUUUUUCCUCGGGAAGGUUUUCUGAGAUACCAAGCACGGAGCCUGCAGGCAGGGGAGCAACCGGUAGAAAUUUGGGGUCAGAGAAGUUACUUGUCUUGUCCAAGGAUGAAAUUCGAAUGCAGUGCUGGGUCCCGUUAUACCACGUCCCUCAACUGGAUUGCCAACAUCCUGGACAUCUUAGUGAAUCAGUCAUUCCCACAACACAAAAACCAGUCUAACAAAGUAUGGAUACAAAGAUGGUUAUAAAGUUGCUUGUAUGUACGGAACACACUGAAGAUAGCCUGUGCUCCACUGUGAAGAAACCAAAUCUAAUUAGAUGGUAGAGGAGAACUCAGCUAAGUUAAUCAAUAUAGAUAAGUAGCAAUGCUUCAGAUGUUGAAAAUAAAGGUUACGAUUCUAUGUGCAAAGAGGCCACCUGUAGAAGCUGGAAAUAUGUGCUGUAUCUUAACCUGAGUGGGAAGCUACGAAGACUCCUGGGGCUCCAGGGCCCAAAAAAUGCAGACUGUGAAAGAAAGCAGACUAAGCCUGCUGAGUUGUUAAAAAUUUGUUUAAUUUUUUUUUUAUGUUUGAGACGGAGUCUCACUUCAUCACCCAGGCUGGAGUGCAGUGGCACCGUGUUGGCUGACUGCAACCUCCGUCUCCUGGGUUCAAGCAAUUCUCUUGCCUCAGCCUCCCAAGUAGCUGGGAUUACAGGUGCCCACCACUACACCUGGCUAAUUUUUAUACUUAUAGUAGAGACGGGGUUUCACCAUGUUGGCCAGGCUGGUCUCGAACUUGUGACCUCAGGUGAUCCACCCUCCUUGGCCUCCCAAAAAUUUUGUUUAAUUUUUAAAAGGCUUUUCUGGUUCUCAUUGUAAAAGCAAUGGUCAUUGCAAUGGUUUCUGCAUGGUCAGUGCAGAAAAUUUGGAAAAUGGAGAAAAAAUAAAAAGAAUUCUCAAAUUAUUUAAACUUAUGAUUCCUAAUGAUAACCACAUAUGCACUUUGGUGUAUGGCUUAGUAGUUUUUUCCUAUGCAUGGAUAAAUAGAUUUUUUUUAAAGUGGAGAUAAUAUUGUACAUAUUAUAUGUAACCUAUUUUUUAAACCUAAUAAUUAGCCUUUUCUCAUGCUAUUAAUCUUUUUCUAUGGCAUAACUUUUAAAACUCUUUUUCAUGGGGAAUUUAAACUUAAAAGGUAGACAGAUUACAGGAAACAACAGAUGCUGGGGAGGACAUGGAGAAAUAGGAACGCUUUUACACUGUUGGGAGUGUAAAUUAGUUCAACCAUUGUGGAAGACGGUGUGGCGAUUCCUCAAAGAUCUAGAACCAGAAAUACCAUUUGACCCAACAAUCCCAUUACUGGGUAUAUACCCAAAGGAUUAUAAUUCAUUCUACUGUAAAGGCACAUGCACAUGUAUGUUUAUUAUGGCACUGUUCACAAUAGCAAAGACUUGGAACCAACCCAAAUGCCCAUCAAUGAUAGACUGGAUAAAGAAAAUGUGGCACAUAUACACCAUGGAAUGCUACACAGCCAUAAAAAAGGAUGAGUUCAUGUCCUUUGCAGGGACAUGGGUGAAGCUGGAAACCAUCAUUCUCAGCAAACUAACACAAGAACAGAAAACCAAACACUGUAUGUUCUUACUCAUAAGUGGGAGUUGAACAAUGAGAACAUAUGUACACAGGGAGGGGAAUAACACACACCGGGGCUUGUCAGUAAAUGGGGGGCUAGGGGAGGGAUAGCAUUAGGAGAAAUACCUAAUGUAUAUGAUGGGUUGAUGGGUGCAGCAAACCACCAUGGCACAUGUAUACCUAUGUAACAAACCUGCACGUUCUGUACAUGUAUCCCGGAACUCAAAGUAUAAUAAUAAUAAGUAGACAGAAUAUUGGAAUGCUCCUAUAUUACUGAUAGGAAUGUAAAAUGGUACAGCCAUUUUGGAAAACAGUUUGACAGUUUCUCAAAAUGCUAAAUACAGAGUUACCAUGUGACCCAGGAAUUUCACUCCUAAGUAUAUGCCCAAGAGAACUAAGGACGUAUUCAUGCAAAAAAAAAAAAAAAAAAGUGUACAUGAAUAUUUAUAGUAACCUCAAAUAGGAGACAACCCAAGUGUCCAUCAACCAAUGAAUGAAUAAACAAAAUGUAGCAUAGUAUAUCCUUACAAUGGAAUAUUUAUUCUACAAUAAAAGGAAGUGCUGAUACACACUGCAACAUGGAUGAACAUUAUGCUAUGUGAAAAAAGCCAAACACGAGAAGACACAUGGUUGUAUGAUUCCAUUUAUAUAAAAUGUCUGGAAUAAGCAAAUCCAUAGAGAUAGAAGGUAGACUAAUGCUUGCUGGCAGGGAGUGACUGCUAACGUCCCAAAUUAGAUAGUGCAGAUGUUUGUACAACUCUGUGAAACAUACUAAAAGUCACUUGUACACUUCAAAAGAGUAAGUCUUAUGGAAUGUGAAUUAAAGCUCAAUAAAACUCUUAUUAAAAAGUAGAUAAAAGGGUUAAUAAUCUCUCUACUGAACAAUUAUCCCCCAUAAUGAAUCCUGUUUCAUCUGUACUCCUACCCACCUUCUCCCCCAUAUUAUUUUAAAGUAGCAUAUUAUUUCAUUUAUAAAUAUUUCAGUAGUUUGUGUACUUAAAAAAUACAUAACCAUAAUAGUAUUAUCAUGCCUAAAAAAUUUAACGUGUAAUAAAAUAUUCAGUCAGUGCUCAACUUUCUAAUCAUGUUUUUAGACUGCUUAGCAUUUUGUUGUGGAGAUGGAUCAUAAUAUAUUUAACCAGUUCCUGUUGAUGAAGCUUGAGGUUAUUUCUAACUUUCCAACUGAUAAAUAGUGCUUCAAUAAACAUCCUUAUAUAUAAGUCUUUGUGUGCAUCUCUGUUUCCUUAGGAUAACUCCUUAGAAAUUGAAUUUAGAAUGAAAGUGUAUGAAUGAUCUCUAAGGCUCUAGAUAUUGCCAGAUUGGCUUCCAAUUUCUUGUGCUGUAGGUGUGUAGCAUUUAUAAAUGAACACAUAAGACUCUGAAAAAUCAAUUAGUUUACCAAAGAUCGUAGAGCUACUAAGUGGCUGAGCUUACGACUGACUGGCCCAAAGCCACUGCCAAUAGUGACUCACAUAGCCAUCAUUUGAUUUAUGGACCUUGUCAUGACAUCAGAAUUAUCUGUUGUAUUAUCACCCUGAGGCUCACAGACUUCCCAGAAGCCUUUGGUUUAGGGCACAAGUUGUCUUUCAUGAGCAUAGUGGUGUUUUAAGAGCUAUUUCCAAGGUAUUUCUUCCUUGUAACUUUGUUUUGUAAGAUGACCAAUGUCAGAUUAUAACGUGUUUUUUUUUUUUUCUUGCCUAAAACCUUAAAAACCUAAUAUGGUAGCUAUUUGGGGAUUAACAGUGACAUUCUUGUGGAGUGUAUCUAGGGGAUGUUUGUUUGUUUAUUUAUUUAUUUAUUUGUUUGUUUGAGAUGGAGUCUAGCUCUGUUACCCAGGCUGGAGUGCAGUGGGGCGAUCUCUGCUCACUGCAACCUCUGCCUCCUGGGUUCAGGCGAUUCUCCCGCCUCAGCCUCCUGAGUAGCUGGGAUUACAGGCGCUCGCCACCACGCCCAACUAAUUUUUGUAUUUUUAGUAGAGAUAAGGUUUAACUGUGUUGGCCAGGCUGGUCUCAAACCCCUGACCUCAGGUGAUCCGCCCGCCUCAGCUUCCCAAAGUGCUGGGAUUACCGGCGUGAGCCACUGAGCUUGGCUUGUUUACAUUUAAACUGUCAUUCUUUCUGGAAAAUUAUCCAGCAAGUGUGUUUGGAGGAUGUGUGGAAUCAGGCUCAAAGGUUUCAGUUUUUUAAGAAUUGGAGACAGCUGACUCUGUGAUGAUCAUAGAAGAUAGCAAGGUGAGCUACGGCCAUGAUAGAAUAGAGACUAUUCUCAAGCCUUAAUCUGCCAGACAAUUGCUAAAAUCAAAAUCUUAAGUUGUGCUUUCAGUUUUUCACAUAGGUAGAUAUUUUAAGAUUCUAAUGGAGAAAAUAGAAGAUAGAACAGGAAACCACCAGAGUAAAAAGCUCCGUAUUCUGGACUAUAAUCUACUUUCAACCUGGUUUAUAAGUAAGAAACUAUUAAAAUUGACACAACUUUAUGGUAGUUGGUCUUGCAGAGGGCAAUUUUCUUGAUUUACUACAGUUUAUAACCUAAUCCUCCAUUUAAAAUGCCUAUAAAUUAUUUAUGUCUAGGGUAAAAAUCCAGGGCUUCACAUGAAUAUGGUUUCAUCAUUUCUACCUCUAGGUAUUUUUUUUAAAGCUGCCUGUAAUCAAAUGAUAGCAGUGUGGUGGGUGGAACAGGUUGUAAGCAGUAAUUGCAAACUGUAUUUAAACAAUAAUAAUAAUAUUUAGCAUUUAUAGAGCACUUUAUAUCUUCAAAGUACUUGCAAACAUUAUCUAAUUAAAUACCCUCUCUGAUUAUAAUCUGGAUACAAAUGCACUUAAACUCAGGACAGGGUCAUGAGAAAAGUAUGCAUUUGAAAGUUGGUGCUAGCUAUGCUUUAAAAACCUAUACAAUGAUGGGAAAGUUAGAGUUCAGAUUCUGUUGGACUGUUUUUGUGCAUUUCAGUUCAGCCUGAUGGCAGAAUUAGAUCAUAUCUGCACUCGAUGACUCUGCUUGAUAACUUAUCACUGAAAUCUGAGUGUUGAUCAUCACACUGAUCCUUACAGUUGCUACAACACGAAUAACAUAAAUAAGCUUUAAAAUGAGGUCCCUCUCUACAUUUCAUGCCCUGGCUUCAGAUGAAACUGCCAUUAGUAAGUGAAAUGAAGUGGCAUAGUGCAAGGAAGAAUGGCUACGCAUUGUGGUUUAGUAAUGUCCAUCUGAGAGUAAUAGAUUUAACUGCACCGUAGGAUACAUCAUAAAGAAAUGCACUGGAGAAAUGAAACAUCUUUAGUUUGACUGUAUUAACUACUUCUUGCUGUUUUGGAUAUGUGUCUGUGUAUUGUCCCCUCGCACGUAUACCCUGUGUUGCCAAUUUAGAUGGUGUUUGGAGCAAGGACCUGUGCGGCUUACUCAGUAGGUAGUAGAGAGUUCUGCAGUUGGUAGAUUCUCAGUAAAUGUUAUCCUGCAUGUUGUGAUUUUCUAAAAGCUAGUUGACAGUUUAACUCCCUAAGUCAGCAGUUCUCAAAGUGGGAUCCUUGGACCAGCAGCUUCAGGAUCCUCUGUUAGGCCCUGCCUCUCUCAACUUUUUUUUUUUUUUUUUGGAGACAGGGUCUCACUCUGUCACCCAGGCUGGAGUCCAGUGGUGCGAUCUCAGCUCACUGCAGCUUCGACCUCCGGUUCUCAGGUGAUUCUCUCAUCUCAGCUCCUGGGGUAGCAAGUACUACAGGCAUGUGCCACCAUACCUGACUGAUUUUUGUAUUUUUUAUAGAGAAGGGCUUUCCUACGUGAUCUCGGAUUCCUAAGCUCAAGGGAUCUGCCUGCCUCAGCCUCUCAAAGUGCUAGGAUUACAGGCGUGAGCCACCAUGCCUGGGCUCGCUCAACUAUUGAAUCAGAAACUCUUAGGAUGGGGACCAGCAACUUUUGCGUUAAGAAGCCCUCCUAGUAAUUCAGAAGCAUGUGGGAGUCUGAGAACCACUGGCCUAAAUGUUUAAAAGAUAGUUUCCUUGGCUGGGCAUGGUGGCUCAUGCCUGUAAUCCCAGCACUUUGGGAGGCCAAGGUGGAAGCUUCACUUGAGCCCAGGAGUGUGAAAUCAGCCUGGGCAACAUGGCGAGACCAUAUCUCAAUAAAAUAAAAUAAAAUAAAAAAGAAAAGCAAAAUAUAUUCAUGGAAAUUUGGGUAUGCCUGAAAAUGUUGCAGAAUAGGAAAUAGUAAAUUAUUUAUGGUAAGUGCAACUUUUUCAUAAGGCAUAUGACCUCAGAGAAAUUGUGGACAGUACACAUUCUUAGGAGUAUGGAAGUUAAAAUUUUUUUACUAAUAUUUGCAUUUGAAUUGUUUGUAAGACUCAAAGAUACUUGAAAUUGAAAAGUCUACAACUUUCAAUUGAUAAUUCUGUACUUUGCAUUGUUCUUUGCAUUGACAUGUCUUUUUCUUUUUUUUUUUUUUUUUAGCAAGUUUAUUCAAGGUGCAGAAAAGCCCCACUCCCUUGAUCAACAAGAUGCAUCCUUCUGAUGUCGAUUUCCUGUUUUUCCCUAUAGGCCUGUAGGGAUUGAGUUUGAAGCCCCAGGAGGUGCUGACAUUUGCUUGGAAACUGAAAGAAAGAAUCCAUAUUCACAAAUUCUUUCAGCCCUACUUCUGUUAGAAGCCUAAAAUCUUCGAGUUAUUUAUUUUUUGAGACCUGGGAAAUGGAAUGUAUAUUUGGAAUCUAGACAGCAGGUUGAAGAUUUCCUUACUGGGAAAUCCCACAGACUUUCUUUGUAACAACAACUUGUAAGCAUCUCUUACCUAGCCACAAAAGUGUCCCAUGUUGCUAUUUAAUCCACAGUUCUUAGAUAAGCACAUUGCUUAUAUUGCAUGUCUGUUUAUAUGGAGGAAAAGUUGAUGGCAAGUAUGGUUGUUAAAGCAACUUUAUAUACAACUGAUAGUGAGCGUGCAUGAAAAUUUUAUACUCAUUGCUGGGGAAAAUGCUUUUAAAAAUGUAAAUUUGAAGACCUCCCCUCAUAGAAGAACUAUUUUGAAGGAAAAACCGAUGGUUAGACAAUCAUCAUCAGACUAGAUAUAAAAAAUACCUGGUUAAAGAUUAUUAGGUUUUUCCCAGUAUUGACACUUAGAGGGAUAGCUCCAGUUUUCUCAGAAGAGGUGUUAAUAUCAUUAAAGUAUCAGGGAAUUGUUCAAGCAUUUUAUUUUUAUUUUAUUUUUUGAGGCAGGGUCUUGCUCUGUUGCCCAGGCUGGAGUGCAGUGGCUCAAUCAUGGCUCACUGUAGCCUCAAACUUCUGGGUACAAGUGAUCCUCCCACUUCAGCCUCUUGAGCUGGGACUACAGGUGUGUGCUACCACACCCAGCUAAUUUUUUGAAAUUUUUUUUUUUUGUAGAGAUGGGGGGUCUCCCUAUGUUGCCCAGCGUGGUCUCAAACUCUUGGGCUCAGCCUCCCAAAAGUGCUGGGAUUACAGGUAGGAGCCAGUGUGCUGGGCCCUGUUCAAGCCUUUAAAUCGGGAAUACUAACUGCUCUAGAUGGGACAAUGAAUGACAUCAUUUGAAAACUUCCGUCUGGAACUAAGUUUGGAGCAGUUUCCUUUCUAGUGGUGGUGAAAUCAUAGACUCUGUCUAAGAAAGCUACAAAUUUGAAAUGGCUUUUUCACAGCCUGUUUAUCUGAUUCCUCCAACGCUUGAGAUAAUAUAUGUUGCAAUUGGCGUGGUUGAAAGGGCCCUUUGAGUUUGGGAGUGCUGCGAUUUUUCAAUUGAGCUCCAAGACUUUCAGAGCAUGGAUACUCUGGGUAGCAGUGGAACCAGGUGGUUCUGUUGCUGGUGUCUUACUCUGGAAUGGUUGACAGAGUCAAAACUAAGCAUUUGCUCUUCCUAAAAGGCCUCUGCUUCUUCUGUCUUCUUUAAAUUGGUAGCUCCAGCACCAGUUAGAGAGUACUCAGUUUUCUUUCCAUGCAAACAAAUAAACAAAUAAAGCGCUGUAGUGCUUUCUAGAGCCAAUACCCAGAUGCUAUUCAGGGAAAGAACAUUGCACAGACACUCUGUUGUCUGAACAAUAUGUAUAUUCUCUCUGGGAGUAUUUUAAAGAUGUAACUUGUGCUGGUAUUGUAGCCAUCAUUUCUUGAAUAUAAACAGCUUUUAUUUUGGGAGAAGAACAGAUGUAAAAGUGUGAAAUAUAGAAGUUUACACAUUUUGGGGGAGGGGGAAAGGGAAGAGGAACAGUAUUUCUUUAAAAUCAUGGUAAACCAAUCUUAGUUUUUCCUUUGUUUUCUUUGAGUGACUGAAAAUUAGCAUGGGAAAUCUGCUGGAACCUGACCAGCUGGGUACCUAAACCUCCAUUUCACUGAUUGCACCAGAAAAAGUGCCAGUGGAUAAUUAUUAUAGGUCCUCAUCACUGGAAACAAAAAGGGUCCUUCUUCAGGAGGAAGCCUCUCUAUGAAGAGAGGAAAUCGUAGACAUUCAGUGAAAUAUGUAUGAUACUUAAAAUAAAUCUUAGAGAGAUACAGAGAUCCGAGCCCCAGAUACAGGGUUUGCUUUCUAGAUUGAAAGAGUCUGUUGAAGGGGUUUGAAGGCUGGGUGUCCCUCUGUGAUCUCUGAACCAAAGCUCUUGCCAGUUCAGUCCCCCAACCCCCUUUAAUUAGUGUGUAUGUUUGCAAAGAGUACCUGGGGGUAUUCAAAGCAGCAGGGACAUUCCUGUGACUAUUAAGUUCUCUGUCCCUUUGAGGCCAGGUCUGUUUCUUUUCUUUUCUGGAAGCAAGGUCUCUUGUAUCUCAUCACUUGAUACAAUGCAAGUUGCAUCAGAUUUAAAAAAAUAAUCCCCUGUCCUUCUUUCCUGUUUCCUCCGUGUGGCUGCUGCCUUCUAUAAGUUGCUGCUGGUUUGCAGGAUUCACAAUCAGGAUUUUGUCCCUGUGGAGAUUUUGUUUAGUUUGCAAGGAACAUUUUUAUUUGAGUUGCAUGGUUCCUUAAUAACUCCCCUUUGACAAAUAUUCUGGUUAAAAUUUCUAUGAUCAUUAUAUUUACUUGGUUGUUUAGUAUCGCAUUUUUAUACUGAAUUAUUUCAACCAUGUUUUCAAAUGGACAGCUCUCAAAAUUUUUUAAGUACAUUUAAGUGAAACUUGGAAUGUGCAUAAGUUGUGAGAUCAUGUGAACUCUGCACUUCACAGACUUGAUAAAGUCAAACCUUUAUCCAGGGGAUGCUUCCUCCACAAUACAUGUAAAUCUGAAUUUAAAAAUAUACCUAAGAAUAUGCAGAAACUGGAACUCUCAUACAUUGCCGGUGGGUCUAUGAAAUAACUCAGCCACUUUGAAAAACAGUUUGGCUAUUUCUGAAAAAGUUAAACUUACUACACGACCUAGCAAGUCCACUUCUGCGUAUGUACCCAAGAGAAAUGAAAACAUAGGUCCACACAGAAACUUGUACAGGAGUGUUCAUGAGGAGCAUCAUUCACAGUGGCCCAAAAAUGGAAACCACCCAAAUGUCUAUCAACUGAUGGAUAGGUAAACAAAGUGUAGUGUUUUCAUACAAUAGAAUACUAUUAGGCAAUAAAAAUGAAGGAAGUACUGAAUCAGGCUGCAGCAUGCAUGAACCUCAAAAUGUUAUGCUAAGUGAAAGAAGCCAGACACAAUGAUUGCAUAUUGUAUGAUUCUGUAUAUAUGAAAUGUCUAGAAAAUGCAAAUCUACGGAGGUAGAAAGUAGAUUACUGGUUGGCUAGGGUGGAGAGGAAAACAGGGAGUGCCUGUAAAUGGGCCGGAGGGAUCUUUUUGGGUGAUGAAAAUGCUUCAAUAUUGGAUGGUGGUAACCUGAGUGAAUUUUAUGGUAUGUAAGUACCUCAAUAAAGGUGUUAAAGUAUAA
Homo sapiens (human) is the source of this 9577-nucleotide long non-coding RNA. RefSeq lists it as uncharacterized. NCBI's taxonomy places the organism in Eukaryota, Metazoa, Chordata, Mammalia, Primates, Hominidae. The transcript is spliced from 2 exons. The record is from RefSeq and is a predicted model, not a curated record.